This 426-nucleotide RNase P RNA is filed under the name Muribaculaceae bacterium. RNAcentral describes it as "RNase P RNA component class A". It matches the Rfam family "Bacterial RNase P class A". Rfam says of the family: Ribonuclease P (RNase P) is a ubiquitous endoribonuclease, found in archaea, bacteria and eukarya as well as chloroplasts and mitochondria. Lineage: Bacteria; Pseudomonadati; Bacteroidota; Bacteroidia; Bacteroidales; Muribaculaceae. The record is from RNAcentral.
GCAGAGGCACGGAUGGUCGCUUCAUGCCGGGAGCAUGAAGAGGAAAGUCCGGGCAACAUAGAGCACCAUACUUUCUAACGGAAAGCCGGUGGCGACGCCGGGGACAAUGUGACAGAAAACAACCGCCAUCCCGACUUAGCGCCGAUGAGGCGCAGGGGUCGGGCUGGCAAGGGUGAAAAGGCGGGGUAAGAGCCCACCGCCCGUAUGGCGACAUGCGGGGCCGCACAUCCUAUGCGUUGCAAGGCCAAGUAUACCGGCAGUCAAGGAUUGCUCGUCCAUUGCCGGGGGGUAGGCCGCUAAAGUCUGCGUGCAAACGCAGCCACUCAGAUAAAUGACCGUCAGGGCCACCCUAUGGAUGCCGCCUGCUCAUGCAGCGAUGGCACAGGAGUGUCCCCACAUAACCCGGCUUAUAGUGCCUCUGCCCCU